This is a long non-coding RNA of Panthera uncia (snow leopard), 11719 nucleotides long. RefSeq lists it as uncharacterized. The record is from RefSeq and is a predicted model, not a curated record. Lineage: Eukaryota; Metazoa; Chordata; Mammalia; Carnivora; Felidae. The transcript is spliced from 2 exons.
GAUGGUUUUAAUACAUACACAAAUUAAGUUUUAAAAACCUAAAAUGGAACAAUGUAUAUUGGCUCCAUAUCACAAGUGGUAUUUUGUGUGAUUAGUUGGGUUUACAAUAACUUACAAGAUUGCUAAUAGUUUAAUGAUUUGGUGUGAUUUAGUGAUUACUGAUCUCUAAAAAAUCAAUAGUAUAAUUUCCAUUUUGUGUUUAUUCUAUGGUACCUAAUGGUGUGCAGUUAUUUAAUUCAUUUGUUUAUUGUAUUUACAACAUGGCCUUGCUGUUUAAAAAUGACUAUUUGAUAGGCAAGGCUAAACUAUAUGGAAUCUAGUUUGUUUAAUAAUGAGUGGGCAUCAUUCAACACGAGAAAUCAGUGUUGUCUUCUAAAUGUGAAGAUGUUUCUCACUUUUUUGUUUUGAUAUUUUAAUGUUAAAAAUUUUACAGUUCAUAUUUAGAGAUAGCUAUCAUUUAUAUGUAUAAACUUUUGAAUACCUGCUGUAUAAAAGGUUCUACACAAUGAUGACUAGUGCUUGUGUUGUGAAAGGUAGGAUUUUAUUAAUCAUCUAUUAAGUGUCUUGUAGGUUUAACUUGUGAUCUAUGACAGAAGAAAUUUGUUGUUACAGGGAGUUAUUUCAUGAGAAAUUAGAGCUUGAUUUUGCCUUAUAAAAAUGGGUUACAUUUCUAAUACAAUUCUAGUACGUGUUGGUAAUCUUUUAAAAAUGUGUUUCUCUUGUAAGUAUUUUAAUCAUAGUUGAUCAUCUUUUUUUCUUCUUUAAAGAGUUUAGAGGGUCAGGUAAGCAGGAUGGGUUUUACUGAAAGUCUUAAUCUUUCCUAAGGGUAGAGUUUCAUUGAGUUCAUAUUACGUCAUUUUUCAUGAAUCAUAAUACAUCCCAUUUGGGAUAGAUCUGUGUGGAACUUAUCUUAAAGAGUCUCAUUACUGACGACCCUUGUUAAAUAGAUGUCAAGAGAUGGCCUCAUCAGCAAGGUGUGUGUGUUUACAGCGCAGCAUUGUGGUCAGACAUUAGUUAUAUAUUGUGUCCAUUUUGGGGCAUUUAAAAAUGAAGGCUAUUUACUUAUUGCACUUACUCUAUAUAUCAAAGAUAAAUGUUUCCUAUUAUCCAUUCUAAAGUAUUCUGUAGAGUUACAACAUGUUAAUUUGUUUUUAAAUACCCUCUGUAUUUUAAAAUAUUGGAAGAUGUUAGAUUUAUAUCCUAAUUGAAUUAUCAAAUGAUAUACAUUAGCAAGCAGAAUUUUAAUUGUAGUUGAAGAGUCUUUGAGUUUUUAUGAGAAUGUGGUGCCGAAUUAAAUAUGUUUGAUGCUUGGUUGCUUGAAGUGCUUUUCUUUUUUUUUCUUUUUUUUUUUUAUUAUUUUUUUUGAAGCGUUUUCUUUUUUGACAACUUUCAUAUUUUUGGAAGAAAAUAAAAAGUCUCCUAGUUGUAUUAUGAUUGGAAGAAAAAUACUGAGAGAAAACUAUUAUCAGGUUUGAUUAAAAUUAUGCAAGUUUGGGGUGAUAUUUAGUGUGCUAUUUCACUUUUUUGAUAUAAGAAAACUAUUUUGAAAUAUAGUACAUUUAAAGUUUAUUGACUGUAACAUUACUAAAAUUAUAUAUAACUUUUCACCUCACCAUUCAGAUGCACAAAAGUUAAAUUAUAAAGGGGAGAAUCUUCAUGAUCUUACUAAGGUAUUUCUGUUUUUAACAACAGAUUCAAAAUAAGUAAAACCAAAAAUAGGUCACUCAAGCACAUUUUCUUCUUACUUCUCUAGAUCUUAUAAGCUCUAGAUAGAUUCUAAAGAAAAUACAUUACAAUUUUUUUGAAUGUAUUUUUCUUUUUUGCUUCAAUAAUAAUGUGACCUUACUGAUAUGCUCUUUUCCUAAGUUUUUAUUAUUUUUGCUUUCUAAUGAGCUGCAUUUUUGCAACCUUGUUAGUUGAUCAGUUUCAAAAAAAAUAUUCAUCUAUCAUUCUUAAGUGAUUUUUAGAGAUAGUUGUCAUAUUGAACAUAAUGAUGUAUUACAUGGCACUUAUAUUUUUCUUCAUAAAACUAAAUAAAAUGGAAAAACUUUUUAAAAUAGGAAAAUAAGACAAUAAAUGGUCUUAAUAUUUCAAUGGGUUAUAAAAUUCACCUAUUAAAUUGGUGUUAUGAUACCUGUCCUACCUAGGAUGUAAGAUUACAGACUAAAACAAGAUUAGAGCUUUUAAAGGAUUUUAUAAGCUAUAAGUGUUAUAUAAAUAUAUUAUUACUCCAAAUGUUAGGACUCCAGAGAUUUUCUUGCCUUAUUUUAGAAUGAUGAAAUGAAAUAAAUGUAUUUUAUCACUUUUAUAAGUAGUAAUUUCAGAAACUGAAUGUUAUUUUUUGCUUUUUUGUGGGGGCUAAUAUCUAGGUUGUAUAGACAGACCAUUUAAGUUUCUAAUACUAUAUUAAUCUGAAUUAAAUUUGUAAUGUGGAAGAAGAAAUACUCAGAUUAAAAACAAAAUUUAGGAUUAAAGUUAAUAAUAUCAAUUUGUUAUUUGUUAAUUAUAAUAUCAAAUGUGCCAGUCAUUAUAGUAGAACAUUAAAUUAUAAAUUAUUUCCCUUGUGCUAUUUUUCUGAAUUCACUUAUGGGAAAUCUUAGCAAUUUGCUGUUUCACACCAAAUUAUAAAUUGAAUCUUUUUAAACAUAGUUUAAAAACUUCUUGACUCUACCAUUUCAAUACUGGCCGACAGUGUAAAGUUUAUGGUUAUUUUUAAGAGUAUUUUUGAAGUCAUAGAUUUUUUCUCUUUACCACAGUUCAGGGGAAUAUAUUCAGAAGACUGUAGAAAAAUGUUAGUGUUUAAGGUUACUCAGUUACUUAUUAAGUAUUAGUAGUAUUUUAAGGAAAAUGUUUUAAAUACGGUCUUUUUUUUUUGCUUUCAUUUUAGGUGUUUAAAUUGUUGUAUUUUGAAAUAAUUUCAAAGUAGAAGUGUUACAAAAAUAGUACAAAGAAGUCCUAUACCCUUUGCCUAGAAUUAUUAAUUUUUAGCAUUUUGCCACCAAAUAUGGUAUUUCCCGUUAUCCUCUAUUUUGACUGUGAAUGCAUUUUUCAUUAUGGUAACUAUUCAUAGUGCUAUGAUUUUUGUUUCUAGAUCUUUUAUUAUCAGAACCUUCUUCACAUAGUUUUUGUAAAAUUUUUAUUAUAAAGUUACUAUAUUGGAUGUUCAAAAAAUAGUUUUAGAUAUAUUUGGGACUGAGGCAUUAAAUACAGUGUGCAGAAUUAUAAAUGGCGAUAUGAACCUAAAUAUUUUACAGAAUCUGUUGUGUUCAUUUUCUCUGAGGCUGACGAGUGAAACGAUAGCUCUUAUCUUAGUAGUGGGUAGAGGAAUAAUGGAAAUAUAGUAAUAUAUAAAUAUAAACAAUUGAAGAUAAUUACCAAACUCAAUACUAGACUGUUUCAUCCUUCUUUUGCUGAGGUCUAACUCUUGCUGAAAUGUAAAUGAGCUGAAUAGUUUAGUAUAGCUACUAAGGUUAUAUUUUGCAGUUGUUAGCUUGCUAUAAAUGAAUGACAGAACUAGGUCUGUCUGUUUUAAUUCCUUCCUCACUAACACAGUGAUGUAUUUCCAUGUAGCAAAAGGUAGAGUUAGCAUUAAAUGGCCUUAAGCUUCUGCUUUUUGAAGAUACAUGGCCCAUUGUUUUCACAUUGAAAUAUUUGCUUUCAAAGCAUGUUUAUCCAGUCUGGGUGCGCAAGUUUGGAAGUAAAUGUAGGUGUUUGGUAGGGCUUAUUCCAGAAGAAUUGUGAUCCCAGUUACUUACCUGAAUAGAAUGGCUUAUAUAUACAUUGGUGGUGUUAGAAGAAUUAUUAUCAGGUAGCAAGUUGGGAGAGGUGAAUUCUUCUUUCUAACACCUUGCAAUUGUCUAAUUUAUGCACCAUUUGAAAACAAAAUUCUCCUGUCUAUUCAGUGGGUAAGAAGUGAAGAAGAACUGAAAGUGGAAGUUGGAAGGACAAAUAAAGUAGCAUGAGCAUUGGAUAGUUGUUGAAUCUUUAGCAACUGAGAUUUGGCUGUAUGUAAAUGUUCACUUCCACUUAAAAAUAUGACAGAAACAAUCAGUUGGAGUUUGUUAAGUGAUUCAAUUUAAAUUCAGUUGUAUUUCAUACAAGUAAUUUUGGUCUGACCUGAAAACAGGAAAUCGAUGACUGCCAUUAGCUUAUUAUGGCGGAAUGAGGGAAGAGUAUGCUGUAACUACUGGUAUGACUAGGCACUAACUUUGAAAUUGUCAGUAUUGGGCAUUUUAAUUAGAAGGUCCUGAAAAAAGAAUAUAUAUUUGUGAAUGUUAUAUAGAAUAACAUAUAUUUGUGUUUCCUCAGAAUAGUGAAAAAUUUACAUACUUGUAUUUUUAAGGAUAGAAAUGAUUUUGCUCCAUUAAAGUACUUUUUAAGUAACAAAUUCAGGAUUAGAAUAGCAGGCUUAUUUUCCUUAAGUUUUACAGGGCUCUUCAACUGAAACUUAGGUUUAUAAAAGUUAGGGGUUUUUGCUCACACUUUGGCAUUUGUGCAGUGUCGUAACAUGUGUGACUGCUUAAAUAGAAGAUACGUGUGAAAUUACUCUCAUCCCACUGUUGGGUUGCCUCCCAGCAAUGGCUUGUACUGCUAUAAUCAGGCAAUCUGCUACUCAGGAUAUUUAAGUUUAGAAAAAGGAGAUUCUAUUUUUUUUUUUUUAAAUAGGAAUGAGGGAACUUGCUUUUCUACAUGGAAAGGUUGCCAUACUAGCUAUGGUUGCAUCAGAAGUAGAGGUAGUUCAUGACCUACAAAUGAGCAGUUUCCAGCAUUGAAUUUUUAAAGAUGUGCUUUUUUUUAAGGAGUUGAGUGAAACUAGGAACACCUUUUCCUAGGAGUGUUUUAUGUAAUGUGUUUCUAAGCUAGUCUACGUAGCAUUUCCUAUGAACUAUAAUACUGCUGCGAUUAUGAGGCCUAGCUGCUUUUGAUAAGAAUAUUUCUAUAGAAAAAUAUCUUCAGAGCACUAGGUUAGGAGAUUCAGAGGACACAUUUCUGUCUUUUCAUGAUGACUCCAAAGACCUGGACAGGAACUUCAGCAGUGAGCUAGCUGGGGGCACAGAAGUAGGUGUUGGAAUCUGGGGAACAGGUUUUUUACUUUGGAAACUAAAGGGUCUGACUAGAAUUCUUCCAUUGAAAAUACCUAGAACACACUCAUUAUUUCUGGCAUUGGGCCUUCAUCUCUUCUUUUCUUAGGUUCAUUACUAGCCUCUUGUUAUCAUCCACUCUUUUUGUAACUAGGAUUUUUUUUUCCCUUUCUUCAACUAAGACACAAAAUAGUGUUAGUAUUCCCUUCUCUUUUCCUAUCAUCAGAGCAAGUCUUCUAUCUUUUUGAGGUUUUCUAAGAGUUUAUACAAAUAACAGAGAUUUGGAGAAGGAAUAAAAAACACUUAGGGAAAGCUCAGUCCAAGGACAGAUAGCAGUGGUGGAUAUUUGGGGAUUCAGAAACCAAAAGUCAUUUUCUGUAUAGACUUCAUUGUUGCAUCUCCAAGGGAGAUCAUGAAAAGAAUUAGUGUUAAAAAUGUAUGUGAAGGAAGGGUAGGUAGGUUAACUUUUUUGCAAUGGGGAACUGAAAGUAGAAUGCGAUCAUUUCAGUGGUGCUUACCUUUCCCUUAUUUCCAUUUCCUCUUUAGUCCCAAAUUUAAUUUGUGUUGACCUGGUCCUGACUUGUUCCCUACUUGAAGCCAGAAUGGUGAUGGCUGGAGUUCUCUGAAGAAGUUUGCCGACAGUUUGGCUAGGAGAGGAAAGGAGAUUAAAUCUCUACAGGCAGCAGCAGAUAGUGAAGGAAAAUUAUCCGUGGAUUUUCAGUCUUGGGCCAUGUAGGACAUGUGUAAGUAGGUGAUGCUUGCAAGUCACAUACUGCUUUUUGUUUAAAGCAAAAGAAGCCUAUGUUCCACACUUUGAUGUUAAAUAAUGAUGUAAUGGUUAUUUAAUAGGGCAGUGGUAGAGGGCCCUGCAAGAAAAUUAAGUAAGUAUCCUAACAUACAUAAUUUAUUGAUUCUUCAGUAGAUAUAGCUCUAAAUUGGUUUUUUUUUUUUUUGAGACAAUUUAAAAAAAUACCUUAAGAGUUCUAAGGGAAUUUUUUUUAAUGUAAGAAACUUGCUAAAGUUUCAAAUGAUACACGUUGCAACCAUAGUUAGGUUAUUUAUUGAAGCUACACAGUUUAAAUGGGCAAUUUCUGACGUAAUUAAACAUUGUGGGAUAUAGAUAGUCUUAGAGGAUUAUUAAAUGAAAACAGGGUGGGUAAAUUUGGAGUAGAGGAUUUUUUCAAAAAAUGAUUUCUUAGAGUAAAACAGUUUUUAAGUUUGGUAAUAGGGAGCUACUUGGGUAGAAAAGGAAUAGUUCAUAUAUUAUGGGUCAGGGUAAAUGAAUAGUGUGGAAAGUGCUUUUUUCUUAACCUCACUGUCCUUUUGCAGCUACUGGAAAUGGUAGUCCACUCACAAAUUUUACCUGUUUUGUGAGACCUUGCAGUUUUAAAACUGUGAUCUUCUAUAGGAUAUCCUGUUUCAGAACAUCCUGGUGAUGGUUAGGAAGGCCUGAAUAAUUCUCAAUUAUUUAAAAGUAGCUGUUAAUGCACAGAAAUUCACCUGCCCUGAAAGACCUUAAAUAUUUAAUUUAUAGAAUGAUACUUUGCAUUUGAUAGAAAUUUUAAAUUUUAGAAAAACUUUUUAGUGAUUUUUAGCUGUCAGACUUACCCUAAAUAGAAUAGUUUUCAUUUGAAUUAUUAGAUAUGGAGUAUUAUUUUAAACAUAAACAGAUGAGAAGAGGUAGAGAAUCCUUUUAUUUCUUUAUUUUGCUUUUUAAAAUUACAAAAUCAGUACAUCGUCAUUAAGGAAAGCUUGAAAAACACAAAGCCAAAAUGGCAGAAAUCACAAAUUACCCAGAACCCAAAGACAAAUCAAUCACUGUUUAUACCUGAAUGAAUAUUGUCAGGAUUUUUCUAUGUAAAUAUAAUUUGUAUUUUCCAAAAAAUGUUAGGUUUUAUAUAUGACUUCACUAAUUAAUAUAUUUUAAACAUUAUCCUAUAACAAGAAGUAAUUUGGGAGAACAUCUACAGAAGAGUUUACACCAUAGACUAGAUAACUAAAGGUCACUCAUUUAAAUUUAAACCUUUUCAACCUUUCUAAAAUACUUUGUUAAAGAGAAUAUAUUAAGAUAGACUUUCUGGUUGAUUCAGGGUUAUCACUAUAACUAUCAAUACGUAUAGGAGUACUUGACUUGAUAGUCAGUGGCCCCAGACCAUUAUUUUUUAGGUUUCAUGAUGGAUACCUAAAAACAAUGUGUUCAGUACAAAAGAGAGGGAUAGUGUAAUAACCAAUAAAUGACAGUGAUUGAAGUAGACAUAAUCAUGACAGUGAAUUAAUAUAUUUAAUGGCAUGGAACAAUUACUAGUGUCAGUACUUUGGGUUUUUUGUAUACCAACUAGUGAUAAUGAGAGAAGAGAGAGAGUAUGAAGGUUCAAGUUCUCUUUUAUGUAAGACUUUCAAAUUGCACAUAACUUAAAAUACUAUGAUUCAACACUCUAUGGACAUCAUGAUGGAAAAAUGGCAGCCUUAUUCUUUAUACUGAGAAUGAUAAAGUACUUGACAGACCCACAGUGAAAGGCCCCUUUACUUAAAAGAAGUAAGAGUCUGGCUAGAUAACUUGCUCCAAGGUAAAUAAUAAUACUUAACAUGUGAAUCCAGCACUCUGUGAUAUACUUUACCUAUUUUAACUAGAUUAAUUCUCAUACCAUCUCUAUGAGGUAGGUAAUAUUAUGUCCAUUUUUCAUAUGAGGAGACUUGAAGCACAGAGAAAUGAAAGCUAGUAAGUUUCAGGGCCAAACUUAGAAUCUGGACACUAUCUCAUUAAAAUCCAUGUGCUUAACCACUACUUUGUGCUGCCUCUGUUACAGCAAAUAAGGCCUAAUGUUGUUUUAGGCAUAAAAGUAGUAAAAAUUCCUUUUGGAGACCUGUAUCCUUUAGUAAUUUAUAUUAAAUGUAUAACCACUAUUGUGUCCUUCUCAUUCAUUUCAGAGCAUUACAAAAUUAAAUCUAUAGGCCUACUUGAGGCACUGGGAAGUAUAUUUUCCCUAUAUCUAAAUGCUCGUAGGAUAAUAACAAUAAUAAAUAUACUUACAUGUUUUUCAAGAAAAUGUAUAAAAAUUUACCCCCAAAGUAAAAAGAUCCUUUAAAAAUAUACAAAUUCAUGUAUCUCCAUUAAUGUAGACAAUUACGAAUAAGAUUUAAAAAUUCCAGUGUAAUGGCCCUUAGAUAUCAGAGUCUGCUCUGAGUACUACAGUGGUACUUUUAGAUCAGUUUUACUUUGCUAGUAAAGGCUCAAGCAGUAGGUUUGGAUAUAAAUGUAGUAGAUCCAAACUGUCAGGUUUGGUGGUUGUUGUUGUUGUUGUUGUUGUUGUUGUUUUAAAUAGGAAUGGAAGUGAGCAGAUGUAUUAAACAGUAAAGGUCAAUAUUUUUUUUUGAGUUUAUUUAUUUAUUUUGAAAGAGAGAGAGUUGAAGGGGCAGAGAGAGGCAGAGAGAGACAAUACCAAGCAAGCGCCAUACUAUCAGUAUGGAGCCUGAUGCGUGGUUUGAGCUCACGAACUGCAAGAUCAUGACCUGAGCUGAAAUAAAGUGUCAGAUGCUCAACUCACUGAACCACCCAGGUGUACCAAGAUCAAUAUUGUUUUGAGAAACUUUAGUUUCAGAACUAGAUAGGUAAAUGUAUGGAUGUUUCUUUCUGUGGAGAUGGCUCAAAACUGUUGGAAAAGGACCCUUAGCAACUGCUUGAGUAUUGACUCUAACUACCUCCUGUAAACGGAGACUGCUAAAUAAUUCUUAGUCUUAUUCUCUUUCUGUAUAAACCUUUAUUUUCAGUUCAAACUGAGUAAUGCUCAAAGCUCAGUUGUACUGAACUCAUAAUCUUAUCUAUCUCUUUGAAUCUAUUUUUCUUUUGAGUUCUUGUUCUUGGGUGAAAUCCUUCAAUGUUUGUUUCCGUAGAGAUUCCACAUUCCUUAGAAUGGUUAGCAGUAUCCCUCUUGGCUUGACUUCCACUUAGCAAAUCUUGCUCCUACUAUGCCCUUACAAACCUACCGUGCCUUAGCUGAAUUCACAUGUAGUUUUCUGGACAUGAUGUUCACACUUACUUUCCUGCUCAAAUUUCUCUUUCCCCUCUUUUCCAUCAGGCUCAUCUUUUAAGACUUGUUGGUUUAUGACAGCUUUAUCAGGUAGGUAUUCUUAUCUCUACAUUUUUCAUAUGAGGAAAUUAAAGCUUAGAAAGUUUAUCUUUCUCAAGAACUGAUCAAAUUCCUGUCUUAGAAAUUAGAAAUUGGGAAAAUGAAUCCAUUCCUCAUAGAAAAAUUUUAUUGUAGACAUACAGUAGAGAAUCAGUUCCUAAUGGAAAAACUUUAUUUUUAUUUUAUCAUAGAGCAAGAUCAGGAAGAGAUCUCCCUCCACACAGGGGAAGGAAAUUGUUUUUUUUUUUUUUAUUAUGUAUGAGGCUGAGAUUGAAGGUGAUGGAAAGGAAAUAAUUGAAUAUGAGGGGUCGAAACACCAUGUGAGGAGAGAGGGUAAGGGCUCUCUUGGUGGCUAGGUCUUUUCAUUCUUGUGUUGAUAACUGUAAGAGACUUCCUUUCUCUGGAGUUCAUUUGAAUUGAUUUUUGGUUCUUUGUGACCUAAAGGUCCAAAUUAAAGCAGACCUGUAUAUUUGCAUAUAUUUGCUAGCUUAGUUUCAGUUAAGUAGAGGAAAUCUUGACUGAAAAGUGAUUAUAUUCCAGAAGUGUAUUUAUGAAUUUGAUUGGAAUCUAGAAAAUGGUUUCUCAUGAAAACAAUUAUAAGUGAUAAUUAUAUUCUUUAGUUAGUUCAUAUAGGUUAUAUCAGGUUGAACUACUCUAUAUUAUUAUGUAAUAAAAAUAGAUAACACUAUUGAAAUAUGUUUAUUAAAGUAAAGUCAGUGAUUCAAAUGAAGACUAAAAUAGUUUUUCUCAAAUGCUGGUACCUGAAGAAAAGCAGAUUUAAUUAAAGAAGCAUAGGGUAGUAGAUAUAAAUUUACAUGACAGUUUUGGCUGCUUCAUAUUUAUUUAAAACAACUGUAUUGAAGGUGUUUAGUAUCCAUGACAGAUAAUUUGUGUUUAAAACUCUAAUGAAAUGAGAAAGGAUGGAGAUAUAUUUCUUUGGUCUGUGAAAGAUAGAGGGAAAGGAACAUGAUACAUGAUCCCUACCUCCUAUGUUAAAAGCAUUAUUUGUGGGCACUAAAUUUCUGUUCAUUGGUUCUCAAACUCUUCGGUCUAUGGACCACUUUAUACUUUUAAAAGUUAUUCAGGACACCAAUGAGUUUUUGUUUAUGUUGUUAUGUCUAUUGAUAUUUUUUGUACUUGAAAUUAAAAAAAAUAUUGAAUAUAGAAACAUACAUUCCAUUAGUCAUCAGAGUGAUUAUGUUAUCACAAGGUCAUAUAGUGUCUGAGAAACUCCACUGUAUACUCAGAAAAUGAGAGUAGAAAAGGCAUUUAACCUGUUAGCCAUAUUAUUAAAAUAGUUUUGACUUUAUAGCUAUCCUGAUCAGGUCCUGAGUGAGAAACCCUGGAUCAAACUUUGAAGACUGCUCCUGUAGUUAUAGUAAUUCUGUUUUGAAACUCUUUAUUUUAAAUGGGAGAAGACUUUAGUCUUCUAAAGUUGAUGCAAGAAAUAAACUGUUUUCAGAAUGUGUAUAUUUUAUGUUGAGCAAACUCAUCACUCUUAAAUUCAGUUAUUUUACAUAAUGAAAGAAAACAAUUUGAAUGGAUAGUGUUGAUUGUAGGUGUGUGUGUGUGUGUGUGUGUGUGUGUGUUGGGGAGAAGUGUUUUGGUCAAAUGGAAUUGAGCUGGUACUGGAAAUGUGAUCUCUGUGGCUCAUCUAAUGGUGGUCAUUUUGCUCUGUUUUUAGCCAUACAUUGUGGUUCACUAUAUGGCUGUUACUUGAGUCCUAUACCAGGUAAUUUAGAGACCACAGUUAGUAAAGGGAGUAUAUUUUCAAGCAUUCUUAUAUAUGAAAGAAUCUCAUAAUCUUUCUGAGCCUUAGGAAGGAUGUUUAUAUUACGACUUAAGCACUUUUGUGUUGUUACUAACACUAGCUGGAUUUGAACCAGGGACUUUAAUGUAAUGGUGAAGCUGUACAAUUUGGUGUACAACUGUUUUUAAAAAAAAGAAAAAUUUUUAACAUUUAUUCAUUUUGAAAGGCAGAGAGAGACAAAGCGCAAAUGGGUGAGGGGCAGAGAGAGAGGGAGACACAGAAACAGAAGCAGGCUCCAGGCUCUGAGCUAUCAGCACAGAACCCAACGCAGGGCUCGAACUCUCAGACCGUGAGAUCAUGACCUGAGCUGAAACCGACUGAGCCACCCAGACACCCCUACAACUGUUUUUUUUAAAAAGUCGGUAGUAUUUGCCCCUUAUGUAUUAGGUACUCUAUUUAGUAAGUGCAUGCAAAUCACCUUUUUUUUUUCCCCUUUACAUUGAGUUACAUGUUAACUUAAUUGUAACAUUUUUGGCUGAGAGGAAUUCUGUGCCUUCCUUUUAAGUAAUCUGCACCCCAUCUGGGGCUUGAACUAUGACCCUGGUUUCAGGAGUCACAUGCUCUACUGAUUGAGCCAGCCAGGCAUCUCAAUUCUGUGGCUUUUUAAUAAAAUAAACAAAAUUAUUUUGAACUAUGAAUUAUCACCAGUUUUUCAUUCAGCAUAGGUUUUUCUUAAAAAAAAAAAAAAAGAACAAAUUAUA